GCGCGGCGCGGGGCCGGGGUGCCGGGGUCCCGGGGUGCCUCCCCGCGCCGCUCCGCGCGGCCCCCGGAGGCGGAUCUUUGUCGGCGGUGCGGCUUGCUUUGUGGCUUCCAAACUUGCCCCUUGCCGGGCCGCUGUGCGGAGGCCGCGCCGGCGCGGAGGACGAAAGUUGGGAGGCGCGAGCAUCCUACCCCUGCCCCGGCCCGACCCGCGGUCCCUGCGGGCUGGGCCUCGAGCAGCGGGGACCAGCGGCUCCGGCAGGGAACUUGACGGCGAGCCCUGCUGUGAUUUGCUCGGGCCUCCACCUGAUUGAUGGGCGUCAAGCCAGUGGGGUCCCCGCCUCCCGCUGCUCCCCAGAUGGCCUUUUGUCUCUGCGCGUGGAAGAGGAGAGAGUUGAUGCAGAUCCGCCCCAGCAUACCUGCAUUCCUCACCCCCAGCUGUGCUGUCCAUGGAGAAGGUACUGUGGGAGGCCAUCCAUCUGGCCUCCAUCCACGACCACUGCAGCUUCCCCACUGCUCUCUGACUCUCAGUGUUUCUGGCUUUAUGAUUCAGGGUUACUACUUGGCUUUGUGUCUCUCAGUCUCGUACCUAAAAUGCAGAUCAUUCCAGAAGCUGGAAAACUAAGAAGAGAUUUAUAAAAGGGUUGGCGCAGCCCAUGACACAUGGAUUGUGCUCAACAGACCAUCACCACCCUCUUCAUCGUCACGGCCACCUCCUGCUGGACAGGACUUCGUUGUGUUCUUUUAUGUUUUGUUUUGUUUUUUUGGUACCGGGAAUCGAACUCAUGACCUCAGGCUUGCCAGGCAAGUGCUUAUGCUGCUGAGCUACAUCCCCGGCUUUGUUGUGUUCUUGAGGUCUAAGUAACUAACGGGUGGGGUUUUCCUCAGUCCUGGGACCUUCUGUGUCCCCAUCUCUUCCCUGUCCCCUCCUCCCAUGCAUCCACACACUCAUUUUGUGGCAAACAUGAGCCACUUGGAAUGGAAAACUCUCUUGGGAGCACCCAGUGAGACUCUGGUGUGGUGGCCAAGCACUGCAGCGAGCCGAGGGGCAGGGUCUCACCUGAUGCUCAUUCAGGAAGGAUGCUCGACCGCCUAGGCCCCUGUGGAGGACAGUGAGGUGGCGCUGUGUUUAGUACGGACAAAGUGGUUACAUUUUGAACUGAAAAAGAAUUCCUCUCUCCCCUCCCCAGCUUCUCUGAGUCUCCACCCUAUGUUGAACAGGUUGUGAUUUUAAGAACAUCCACCCACAAUCUGUUUCCUGUUCCUAUGCUCACAGCCAUGCAUUUAAGAGGGCUUGGCUGGCAAUGCUGUGUGUGGAACAGGCCCCGCAGAGGAACAAGCCUGACAGCAGUGCAUCAGUGACCACCCAAACUUUCAGAGGAGAGAAAGAGGACCAGGGCCAGAGUCAGUUUUCCAGCUGCCACCCCCACCCCCGCCUGUACCCCACGUGGAUAGUUUAUCUGAUAGAAGCCUCAGUUCACACCCCGCCUUCCUCUUUCUCCCCCUCUGCCCCCAAUAAAGAAACACAGAGAUUAAAUCUUGUUGCACAAUGUUUCAUUGCAGUACUGUUUACCACAUAACAGGGUCUGCAGUGAAUGAAAUUCACAUGCUAUUGAUCCACACUAGAUCAAUAUGAAGGAAUGCGACCCAGGCAUCCCCUCAGUAUAAGUUUGUGGUAUAAUUUGAGCGGGCACAGGCUUAGUUUGGGAUGGAAGGGUGGGAAGCCCAUGCUGGGUUUACCUUACUGGGGGAAACCAGCAAAACCCUGGAACCCUAUUCAGAGUGAGGAAUAGAUUCCUGUACCCCCAGGGCCUCUGACGGUAACCAGAGAGAGUCAGCUCCUUUUUUGGAAGGGAAACCUCCCUGUUGGGGUCCGGGGCCCAAUGGUAAGAGAGAAAAGGCUGCCAAUGAGGAGAGGAGGAGGUUAUGAAUGAGAGUUCCGAGGUGCAGAUUCUCCUUGGCCUGGUUAGAUCCUGCAGUUGUGGGCUGCAGGACGCUGAGGAGGGCCCAGAAAUGUACAUGAAGUGGAAGCUGGGCAGCACGCAUAUGCACAGCCUUGACUGCGCACAGGUGACAGUUUAAACCCGUGUGGCAGGAAGAUUUGAGAAAAACACUCCUCACUGGGGCCAACCCCAGUGUUCCCCCAGUUAAGCCUAACAAAUGGAGGGCACAUAUACACACAGCGGCACAGGGCCGCUACACACCCACACAUACCCCACACAGUUUGCCUUCAUAACAGUGGUAAAUAGGGAACAGUGUAUAAUCCCAUUGUAAAGAGGAAACCAGGCUCAGAGAGGUCAGCACUGCUGAGGGUCACAGCGGGAAGGCAGUGGAGCCAGGGUGCAAACUCAAACUGGCUUAGUUCCAGAGCUCCCCAAAGUGUGUGUAAAGCUACCGAAGACUCAGCCCACACCGGCUGGAAGGGGGUGUGGGGAGAAGGACUAUUUUACAACACACUUUGGGUGAGUGUGGUUGUGCACACCUGUAAUCCCAGCUACUCAGGAGGUUGAAACAGGACUGAAAGUUCAAGGCCAGUCUGGGCAACUUAAGAAAGGCCCUGUCUCAAAAUAAAAAAUGGCUGAGGGUGUAGCUCGGGUAGAACACCUGCCUAGUGCGAUGAGGCCCUGGGUUCAAUUCCCAGUACCAUCAAAAACAAGAAUUUGUGCUUGGGACUGGGACAGUCUCAUUGCUUUUCCAUUGCAGGGGUAUAGGGGUGUGCGCUGCUGUGUGUGUGUAUGUAUGUGUGAGAGAGAAUUUAGUCAAAACGGGAAAGAAUUCCCUACCCACCCAUCCAAAGUAGACCAUUCUAGAACUGCUCUGAGAGCCUGAGACAGAGAACACUCCCAGAAGCAAUGCACUCUCUCCUCCUGAGCCCGGGAAAAAGAGCCCUGGUGGGAUGUAAGCUACAAAGUUGGAGCCUGAGGAGGACCCGAGGGCUACUUGCAGGAUGUGGCACAACUUUGCCAGCCAGUGGAGGCCGGGGGUAGAGGGAGCUGGCAUCCAGAGGGUGGAGAAUGGCCAUGUUGCUGUUUUUAUACAAUAAAAGAGGAUCAUUGUAAUUAGGAGCCUUUGAAUCAACACAUCUGCCCGUG
This 3088-nucleotide long non-coding RNA is filed under the name Chinchilla lanigera (long-tailed chinchilla). RNAcentral describes it as "lncRNA (ENSCLAG00000029082.1)". The record is from RNAcentral. Lineage: Eukaryota; Metazoa; Chordata; Mammalia; Rodentia; Chinchillidae.